UACGUAGGGAGCAAGCGUUGUCCGGAAUCAUUGGGCGUAAAGCGCGCGUAGGUGGCCCGGUAAGUCCGCUCUGAAAGUCACAGGCUCAACCUGUGAAAGCGGGUGGAUACUGCCGGGCUAGAGUCCGGAAGAGGAGAGUGGAAUUCCUGGUGUAGCGGUGAAAUGCGCAGAUAUCAGGAGGAACACCGGUGGCGAAGGCGGGUCUCUGGGCCGAAACUGACGCUGAGACGCGAAAGCGUGGGGAGCAAACAGG
RNAcentral lists this ribosomal RNA (253 nucleotides) under uncultured bacterium. RNAcentral's name for it is "partial 16S ribosomal RNA". It matches the Rfam family "Bacterial small subunit ribosomal RNA", at positions 524 to 776 of the family's 1533-position model. The record is from RNAcentral.